UACGUAGGGGGCAAGCGUUAUCCGGAUUUACUGGGCGUAAAGGGAGCGUAGGCGGCGUGGUAAGUCAGAUGUGAAAUCCCGGGGCUCAACCCCGGAACUGCAUCCGAUACUGCCAUGCUAGAGGAUUGGAGAGGUAGCUGGAAUUCUUGGUGUAGCAGUGAAAUGCGUAGAGAUCAAGAGGAACACUCGUGGCGAAAGCGAGCUACUGGACAAUUCCUGACGCUGAGGCUCGAAGGCUAGGGUAGCGAAAGGG
This 253-nucleotide ribosomal RNA is filed under the name uncultured bacterium. RNAcentral describes it as "partial 16S ribosomal RNA". It matches the Rfam family "Bacterial small subunit ribosomal RNA", at positions 524 to 776 of the family's 1533-position model. The record is from RNAcentral.